This 21-nucleotide unclassified non-coding RNA is filed under the name Leishmania major. RNAcentral describes it as "dut". Lineage: Eukaryota; Euglenozoa; Kinetoplastea; Trypanosomatida; Trypanosomatidae. The record is from RNAcentral.
GGCACGAGAUCAGUUUCUGUA